Helianthus annuus (common sunflower) is the source of this 518-nucleotide long non-coding RNA. RefSeq lists it as uncharacterized. Lineage: Eukaryota; Viridiplantae; Streptophyta; Magnoliopsida; Asterales; Asteraceae. The record is from RefSeq and is a predicted model, not a curated record. The transcript is spliced from 3 exons.
CACGAAGUAUAGUGAUAAAGUGAUUUAUUUGUGGACAUUGCAGAAAAUGGCGUAUGCAGCAUUGAUGCCAGCAAAUUUGGGGUUAGAAGGUUCCCAUGUUCAGAUUCAUAGGACCACUACGUCAUGCUUGAAUUUGGACACUAUGAGUAAAGGUCGGAGAUGAAGUUUUCCUCAAAAUCAUUCUAAACUUUACCGAGACUGUAGCAAGAGGAAGGGUCUAGAGCUCGAACCUAAAUGAUCUAGUUGGUGGUACAGAGAUUGGACCAGAAUGGUGUGAGGUAAACGUUCAAGUACCAAUAAAAAAAUGUAAACUUGGUAAGACCAUAUGGUUUAUUUUCUACAAUUCAAGAUUGUAUUGGUGCAUCCAUCGCAUGGCCCUAUCCAUUCAUCUCGGUAGUCCAUGAGGAUUGAUGACGCAUGAUGACUCAAGAUUUUAUGCUUCUUAUUUCUUUAAUUGCUUUUGAUUUCUUUGUUAAAUGUUAAGAGUUUAUGUUAGAUAAUGUUAUAACUUAUUUAUG